AGAAACACUCGGAUAUUUUCCUUUGACAAAGAACCUUUAGUUAUACUGUUUGAAAUCUCUUCAGCAAAAGUUACUUUCCAUCUUUGAGUGUUCUGUGGAGGAACAAUCCAACACCAAAUGGGUGAAGGAUGGGCAGAACCAGCUACAGCUGAACAUGGUCAUGACAAAAACUGCAAUGAAUUGACCCCCCCCCCGGAGCUGAACAGCUUGCUCAUACACUUCUGGAUGAGAAAAAUAAAGAUAGAACAUUAGAAGAGGAGGAGGAGGAGGAGGAGAACAGUGACUCCACACUGGUCCAGAGCAAGCUUGUGAAGAAAUCCAAGCAGGGUUCAGCAACUGGAACUGUUGGCAGUCUCCAACCUGACAAUGGAGAGAAUGUUUUCGCUAAAUCCUGCUACCCUGCUCCCAGAUGUGGACUCCGCUUUAACUGUUAAGCAUGCUUGUCUUCAACUCAUUCAGCUGACUGAAACCCCUAGUCCAGAUCUUAAGGAUGUGUUUUUGGAAAACGCAGACUAUGUUCUCCCAGCCACUCUGUGCAAAGUAUUUCCCUGGAUUGUUUUUACGAAGGCGCCUCCGAUACUUGGGACAAAAGGCAACCCUAGGAGACUCAGUCCCUUGUGAGGAACAAGUCCAUCCCUUUGAGCCGGGGGAUUACGUCUGAGUAAAGAACGCUAGCCCCUUCGUGGGGGGGGAAUCCUUACUUGGUCCUGUUAACUACACAGGCAGCACUAUUCCCAGAAGGAAAAAAGUAUUGGAUCCAUCACACUCAUGAAAAGCCCACGGUGACCAGUGGUGACACAUACCUAGUGAGGAUUCGAUUACGGCACAUUGGUCUGCAGGAGUGGAAAGUAGCUGACCGGGGAACAUCAAUAUCUCACAAUUUAAUAAUAACAAAAAAGUCACUCGAGGGGAGGUGGCAAAUUGUUGCUCCAUUUCCUAACUGUGUGUUCCUGCUUCCAUCAAGACCUCAGUACUAAAUGAAGGAACCUGUCUACUCUGCUGCCGCUCCAUAAAUGCUGAGCACCACACCUCCUUACACCGACUUCCCACUGAAACACCUGGAUUCAUCACAGCCACUUCAAGCCUGAUGAUAUUGACCACAGCCCAUGACAUUUUCACUACCUGUUUGCUAGGCAUUCCAUCUACUCCUGGAAGCGUUCGGAAUUAUACUAUGUUUUCAGGUUUUUCCAAUGUUUCCAUGCUGUAUUCUAAUUCUAUCGAAUGGGGGUCAAUAAGAACUAGAAAGGAACCUAAUAUGCUGUCUUUUCGCUUAGGCACAAUAGGUCAUAUAGGUAUCCCAUGUUCUGUUGUAAUAAACUGUUUGAAGAAUUGUAUAAAUCUGACUGAAGAUUCCAACCCAUUGAACUGUACAGAGAAGCAAAAUAUAAGUUUUCUUUAUGCACAUGUCAAACUGCCUGAUGGGUGGUUCUGGCUAUGUGGUUAUGUGGCAUACAACUAGAUUCCAGCCAAUUCUAUGGGGGGUCCAUGUGCUCUUGGGAGAGUUACUUAUGCUUUGCCUCAGAGGGCUUAUCACACAUUAGGCAUUUCACACAGUAGAGCUAGGAGAGCUACUGCUCUUCACGACUUUCCUGCAGAGUGUAAACAUCAUGUGAGAAUCUUAAAUCAAGCUGAAGUAAUUUCCCUUGGCUUAUCCCUGAUAGGGGUGCCUGCCCUAGCCAUCAACGGAAUUGCCAUCAAUAGAUUAGCAUGUGCAAUGAUGAAAAGGCUGAAUUUCACCUCUCAAGCCUUAGACUUGGUUAAUCAAGAAAUUGCCCAAAUACGUGGAGCCACUUUGGAGAACAGGGCUGCUAUUGACUAUUUAUUGUUACGUCACAAUCAUGGCUGCCAAGAUUUUAAGGGCAUGUGUUGUUUCAAUUUAUCUGAUAAUUCUCAUCAGAUUGAAUCUAAAAUUAAUGGUUUAAAGGAUCUUGUG
This is a long non-coding RNA of Rhineura floridana, 1933 nucleotides long. RefSeq lists it as uncharacterized. The transcript is spliced from 4 exons. The record is from RefSeq and is a predicted model, not a curated record. NCBI's taxonomy places the organism in Eukaryota, Metazoa, Chordata, Lepidosauria, Squamata, Rhineuridae.